UGGGGAAUUUUGGACAAUGGGCGCAAGCCUGAUCCAGCCAUGCCGCGUGAGUGAAGAAGGCCUUCGGGUUGUAAAGCUCUUUCGGCAGGAACGAAAUGGUACGUGCUAAUACCACGGACUGAUGACGGUACCUGAAGAAGAAGCACCGGCUAACUACGUGCCAGCAGCCGCGGUAAUACGUAGGGUGCAGGCGUUAAUCGGAAUUACUGGGCGUAAAGCGUGCGCAGGCGGUUUUGUAAGACAGAUGUGAAAUCCCCGGGCUCAACCUGGGACCUGCAUUUGUGACUGCAAGGCUAGAGUACGGCAGAGGGGGAUGGAAUUCCGCGUGUAGCAGUGAAAUGCGUAGAUAUCAGGAGGAACACCGGUGGCGAAGGCGACUUCCUGGACCAAUACUGACGCUGAGGCGCGAAGGCGUGGGGAGCAAACAGG
RNAcentral lists this ribosomal RNA (429 nucleotides) under uncultured bacterium. RNAcentral's name for it is "bacterial SSU rRNA". It matches the Rfam family "Bacterial small subunit ribosomal RNA", at positions 355 to 776 of the family's 1533-position model. The record is from RNAcentral.